GGCCGGUCGGGGCUUGCGCCCCAGCAGUCCGCACGCCAGGUGGAAGUGCUUGUGAGGUCGGGCUCCGCCCUUGCGCCCCAGCAGGCCUCGCGUCAGGUGGAAGUGCUCGCGAGGUUUCCCAGGGCCACGCGGUAGCCGUGCAGGGGCGGGGUGGGGUUUACGACGGUGGCCGGGGCUGGGGAGCCGUGACAACUUGCUGGGCGCCAGGUAGGCCUGGAGGCCGUGAACUCGUGGUGGUCCGCCCAGGCUGGUAGGCCCAGCUAGGGCAUGGGCACGGGACCGACACGGCGCCGAGCGCAGUACUGGGCCUUCUUGCUCACGUGAGUCCCUGGAGCCUCCUUGGCCUCGCGGUUGGGCAAGCGCUCCGGCUGCUUCGCCUCUGGGCCGGCCGACCGACAAGGUUUCCCUGCUGAUUGAUUCUCUCUUCUCUGUCUGUCACUCCUUCUGAGAUGCGGACAUUGAAGUGCAAAGAAAUGAAAUAAUUGCCCAAGGUCAUGGAGCUAGAAUGCAGUGAAGCCAAGCUACAAAUCUAGACUCUUAAGCCCUUUGCUCCCAAGUCUAUUAAUCUCUGCUUCCAGUAGGAAUCUCCAGCGAUAAAACAAGCUUAAUUUAAACAACUAGGGAAACACCUUCCAAUGCGCUAAUAAUAUUACAAGUAAAAAGGCUGUAAGUGCUCCAGGAAAGUAGAAAAUCAAUAAAGGCUUUACGUCAUCAAGUUGUGGAUUGCAAUUUGAAAGUAUUGAACAUUGAUGCGGUCGUUUCCUCCAAGAGCUAUGCAAACUUGGGCAAACUAUUAACAUGUCAUUGGUGAAUUGGUUGAGAAAUAACUAUACUCUGUAUAAGAGUUUUGUUUGUUUUUUGAGAAGCAAUAGAUGAUAUAUGUAGAAGACUAAGUAGAUUAAAUACAUGAUUUAGGUUUCCUGGCAAAAUGAGUCUUGGACUAAGCCUUUAAGAAUUUAGAGAGCAGAAAAAAAAGGAGAAUGAAAAAGUAAAGAAAAGGAUAUAUUUCUGUAUCUCCAAGCUGUAUCCAUCUAGUGACAAUGGGCAUACUCUUGCCUUUAAAU
This 1064-nucleotide long non-coding RNA is filed under the name Equus caballus (horse). Its description in RNAcentral is "lncRNA (ENSECAG00000059783.1)". The record is from RNAcentral. Lineage: Eukaryota; Metazoa; Chordata; Mammalia; Perissodactyla; Equidae.